GUAAGGAAUAUUGGACAAUGGUCGCAAGACUGAUCCAGCCAUGCCGCGUGCAGGAAGACGGCCCUAUGGGUUGUAAACUGCUUUUGUACCAGAGAAAACCUAUCUACGUGUAGAUAGCUGAUAGUAUGGUAAGAAUAAGCAUCGGCUAACUUCGUGCCAGCAGCCGCGGUAAGACGAAGGAUGCAAGCGUUAUCCGGAUUCAUUGGGUUUAAAGGGUGCGUAGGCGGGCUUGUAAGUCAGUGGUGAAAUCUCUCAGCUUAACUGAGAAACUGCCAUUGAUACUGCAGGCCUAGAGUAUAGAUGACGUUGGCGGAAUAUGACAUGUAAUGGUGAAAUACUUAAAUAUGUCAUAGAACACCGAUUGCGAAGGCAGCUAACGAAACUAUAACUGACGCUAAGGCACGAAAGUGCGGGGAUCAAACA
RNAcentral lists this ribosomal RNA (423 nucleotides) under uncultured bacterium. RNAcentral describes it as "bacterial SSU rRNA". It matches the Rfam family "Bacterial small subunit ribosomal RNA", at positions 354 to 774 of the family's 1533-position model. The record is from RNAcentral.